GACGGAGGGCGCAAGCGUUGUCCGGAAUUAUUGGGCGUAAAGCGCGCGCAGGCGGUUCUUUAAGUCUGAUGUGAAAGCCCACGGCUCAACCGUGGAGGGUCAUUGGAAACCGGAGGACUUGAGUACAGAAGAGGAGAGUGGAAUUCCACGUGUAGCGGUGAAAUGCGUAGAUAUGUGGAGGAACACCAGUGGCGAAGGCGACUCUUUGGCCUAUAACUGACGCUGAGGCGCGAAAGCGUGGGGAGCAAACAGG
This 253-nucleotide unclassified non-coding RNA is filed under the name uncultured Bacillaceae bacterium. RNAcentral describes it as "contains 16S-23S intergenic spacer region". It matches the Rfam family "Bacterial small subunit ribosomal RNA", at positions 524 to 776 of the family's 1533-position model. The record is from RNAcentral. Lineage: Bacteria; Bacillati; Bacillota; Bacilli; Caryophanales; Bacillaceae.